GUAUACAAGGAUACCUCAUCCUAUUUUUCUGAUCCCAGCCUUGUGAUCACAGUGAUUUUGAAAAGCUCAUUAGAAGAACCGUCUUGCUUCCUCUAGGUGUGAUUUAAAUAACACACUUGUUCUCAGUCCACAUCCCUCGGCUUCUACGAUACUGACUGAGCACAUACUAUAUCCUGGGGACUGUUCUGUGGGCUGGAGUUACAACAUGGGACAAGACAGAGAAAGCACUGCUAUGAUUGAAAGGCAGCUCCACAGCUUCCCAGGUAGGGAUGAGAGAAGUAUUGCUAAUUUGUUCAGUGUCGCACCUGCUUUGUUCUUCACUGGACCAAAGGGGAAAGUCAAAGCUUCCAGGUAUCCUGCAGGGGGAAAGAAGUGUUCCUGGUCCCAGCUAUUGCCUAGGAACUCAGGUUCCAGAGGAUUCUUUCUCCAUAUCACUUGCCCUGUGUCUUCAAAACAAAAGGCAACUGUGUCUGACUGCAAAGGUUUGAGGUUUGCUGAGCUGACACGCAGCUUCAGAAUGCAGUGAGUGAGGGUUUGAGCUGUGGAAGAGCUUUGGCUUAUAAAAAAGACAAAUUAAUUAACUUGUCAAAUCCUUUUUCUCAGAACACAUGAAUACAAUUGAUUCUUGCAUAAUGAAGGUUGUUUCUUAGUAGCACCAAGCAUCCAUUUUCUUGCUUCUUUUCUCAUUCCAUUUCCUGGCUCUCGCAGUGUGCACAAAUUAGGGUUGUAUUUGCAAGUUACAUAUGAAAACUGAGGAACAUUUUGCAAAAUUAAACAAUACAUAUUCUUCCUACGUUUGUAUCUAUGUAGGUCCAGAUGUGACAGAUGUGAAGCAUGAUACUGAGACAAACUAAACG
Molecule: long non-coding RNA, 857 nt
Filed under: Equus caballus (horse)
Lineage: Eukaryota; Metazoa; Chordata; Mammalia; Perissodactyla; Equidae
Description: lncRNA (ENSECAG00000049472.1)
Source: RNAcentral